Molecule: ribosomal RNA, 236 nt
Filed under: uncultured bacterium
Lineage: Bacteria
Description: partial 16S ribosomal RNA
Rfam family: Bacterial small subunit ribosomal RNA
Source: RNAcentral
UGAGUAACCUGCUCUUAACUCUGGGAUAAGCCUGGGAAACUGGGUCUAAUACCGGAUAUGACUCCUCAUCGCAUGGUGGGGGGUGGAAAGCUUUUUGUGGUUUUGGAUGGACUCGCGGCCUAUGAGCUUGGUUGGUGAGGUAAUGGCUCACCAAGGCGACGACGGGUAGCCGGCCUGAGAGGGUGACCGGCCACACGUGGGACUGAGACACGGCCCAGACUCCGUACGGGAGGCAG